AUUGAACGCUGGCGGCAGGCCUAACACAUGCAAGUCGAGCGGAUGAAGGGAGCUUGCUCCUGGAUUCAGCGGCGGACGGGUGAGUAAUGCCUAGGAAUCUGCCUGGUAGUGGGGGAUAACGUCCGGAAACGGGCGCUAAUACCGCAUACGUCCUGAGGGAGAAAGUGGGGGAUCUUCGGAACUCACGCUAUCAGAUGAGCCUAGGUCGGAUUAGCUAGUUGGGGGGGUAAAGGCCUACCAAGGCGAGGAUCCGUAACUGGUCUGAGAGGAUGAUCAGUCACACUGGAACUGAGACACGGUCCAGACUCCUACGGGAGGCAGCAGUGGGGAAUAUUGGACAAUGGGCGAAAGCCUGAUCCAGCCAUGCCGCGUGUGUGAAGAAGGUCUUCGGAUUGUAAAGCACUUUAAGUUGGGAGGAAGGGCAGUAAGUUAAUACCUUGCUGUUUUGACGUUACCAACAGAAUAAGCACCGGCUAACUUCGUG
RNAcentral lists this ribosomal RNA (484 nucleotides) under uncultured bacterium. RNAcentral describes it as "partial 16S ribosomal RNA". It matches the Rfam family "Bacterial small subunit ribosomal RNA", at positions 30 to 507 of the family's 1533-position model. The record is from RNAcentral.